This is a long non-coding RNA of Schistocerca nitens (vagrant locust), 980 nucleotides long. RefSeq lists it as uncharacterized. NCBI's taxonomy places the organism in Eukaryota, Metazoa, Arthropoda, Insecta, Orthoptera, Acrididae. The record is from RefSeq and is a predicted model, not a curated record. The transcript is spliced from 6 exons.
CAGCAAGUAAUGAGGGACCCAUCUGUAGUGUGUGACAAGUCAGGAAUUUGGGUUGGAUGUGAAGUGUGCUCAGACAGCUGAAGCAUUUAAGGUGAUCACUCGCUGGCUGAAAAUAAAAUCAUCUUCAUGAACUUUUAAAAGAUGAAAACUUCAAUCAUUCUUGGUGUACUGCAUAUGCUGUUCGGAGUUCUUCUGAGUCUUUGGAAUCACUUGUGAGGUUUCACAGCAGGCCCUGCGUGUGCUCCAUCAAUGUUAAUCACUUUCAUCAAUAUGGUAUUGUUCAAAGGUAGUGUUCCUCCCAAAGGUUGUGAUGAGUUCAUGUAUAGUGGACAGAAAGGCUUGCAGAGGUUCUUUGUUGUUCUUCCUCUACUGUGUGUUGCUUGGAUGCUUCUUGCAAAACCCAUUGUUUUGAUAAUGAGGCACUGCAAAGCCCACCAAACGCUUUCAAGCCAUCUCGUACCUGCAGAGAACGGCAUGGAUGCGGAGGUGGGAUCGAUGUCAGGGACAGCACACAAGGACAGUGCAGAUGGGGCUCCCGCACCACGGAGCAGUGAAGACCACAACCUUGGAGAAAUCUUCAUCCAUCAGGGCAUCCACACGAUAGAUUAUGUGCUAGGCUCUGUCUCUCACACUGCCUCUUAUCUGUGACUUUGGGCACUGUCACUGGCGCACGUCCAGGUGUCUGAGGUGCUGUGGAGUAUGGUGAUGAAGAAUGGACUGGUAGUGGAGGGCUGGACUGGAGGCUUUGCCCUAUGGCUGGUAUUUUCUUUCUGGGCAGUGCUUACCAUGGGCAUCUUGGUGCUUAUGGAGGGACUAUCUGCAUUCCUCCACACAUUGCGGCUUCACUGAUGAGUGCCCUGUCAAUAGAGUAAAUGUUCUACAAACGUUUAGUUAGUAGCCAUGGCUAUACAGCACAAGCGUAAAUUGGUCAUAAGCAGUUGUAAAGUGUCAGCAUGAGUAUUGAAUUUUUGAAACAAUUG